This 486-nucleotide ribosomal RNA is filed under the name uncultured bacterium. RNAcentral describes it as "partial 16S ribosomal RNA". It matches the Rfam family "Bacterial small subunit ribosomal RNA", at positions 28 to 507 of the family's 1533-position model. The record is from RNAcentral.
AUUGAACGCUGGCGGCAUGCUUUACACAUGCAAGUCGAGCGGCAGCGCGGGGGCAACCCUGGCGGCGAGCGGCGAACGGGUGAGUAAUGCAUCGGAACGUAUCCUCGAGUGGGGGAUAACCCAGCGAAAGUUGGGCUAAUACCGCAUGAGCUCUGAGGAGGCAAGCGGGGGACCUGCGAGGGCCUCGCGCUGGAGGGGCGGCCGAUGUCGGAUGAGCUAGUGGGGGGGGUUAAGGCUUACCAAGGCGGCGAGCGGUAGCUGGUCGGAGAGGAUGAUCAGCCACACGAGGACUGAGACACGGCCCAGGCGCCUGCGGGAGGGCGCAGUGUGGAAUGUUGGGCAAUGGGGGCGACCCUGGUCCAACCGUGGCGCGUGAGUUGAGAAGGCCUUCGGUUUGGAAAGCUCUUUCGGACGGAACGAAAUGGGCGGGACUAAUACUCCUGGCUGAUGACGGUACCGUAAGAAGAAGCACCGGCUAACUACGUG